RNAcentral lists this ribosomal RNA (253 nucleotides) under uncultured bacterium. RNAcentral's name for it is "partial 16S ribosomal RNA". It matches the Rfam family "Bacterial small subunit ribosomal RNA", at positions 524 to 776 of the family's 1533-position model. The record is from RNAcentral.
UACGUAGGUGGCGAGCGUUGUCCGGAUUUACUGGGCGUAAAGAGCGCGCAGGCGGUCGUACAAGUCGCGUGUGAAAGCCCCCGGCUCAACUGGGGAGGGUCACGCGAUACUGUUCGACUCGAAGGCAGGAGAGGGAAGCGGAAUUCCCGGUGUAGUGGUGAAAUGCGUAGAUAUCGGGAGGAACACCAGUGGCGAAGGCGACUAUCUGGGCUGCAACUGACGCUGAGGCGCGAAGGCGAGGGUAGCAAACAGG